Molecule: long non-coding RNA, 17374 nt
Filed under: Phoenix dactylifera (date palm)
Lineage: Eukaryota; Viridiplantae; Streptophyta; Magnoliopsida; Arecales; Arecaceae
Description: long non-coding RNA (PDAC_LNC000725)
Source: RNAcentral
AAGUGGCAUUUUGGAUUUCUAAAUUCCUCUCAUUAUCUGGGUUGGAAGUUCAGGGGGUUUAGCCUUGAUUAUUGGACCAUAUAUAUGUAGGAGGAUGUUGGUAGUGGUAUCUCAAAUAGGCAGGAAAUUAAUUGGCAGUCUUGCUGGAUAAUGUCAUCAAAAAAAGUUUUUGAGAAGAACAUAGAGAAUUAUAUAACUUUGAAUUCCCUGUUAAUCACAAUUAGGAGGUAAUCAGGGCAAGAAUUUGGCUUGAUGUAAUUUUAAGGGGGGAAAUUCUGUGGAAUUUGAAUGUGAGGGUUGAUGGCAAGGACUUUUAAGGUGAUUUAAAAGAUACAUCUAACCCAAAUAUCCUUCUUUGAAAAUUAAGCUUUAACAUUUUGAUAUGCUGUUGCUUUGAGUUGCAUUAUGGUCUCGAGUUUGGAUGUUGCAAUUGGAGGAGUUCAGUUGAUGUGAUGUUCUGAUGUGUUAGUUUUGUUUGUUAUAACUAGAGAGUGACAUGUGCUACGCACAUGAGUGAAGAUGUAUGGCAUCCUAAGUGAAGCCUCAUGAAUGCCUUUCGGGAGUUUGAAUAUGAUAGUAGAAUGGAUUUGCUGAUCUUGAGCAGUGCUUGUUGGUGAACAUUUUUUAUGGCCUAGUGGAUUUAUUCUAUGGAUUAAUGCAUUAGAAAUUUGAUUGUGUAUAUUGGUGGUCAAGUGAUUAGGGUAUUAUGGGUGACUUGAAGUUAUGGAGUUUUAUGAUAUGGGCAUCAUGUGUAUGCCUUCAUACACAACUACACUUCUAGUGGGUUUCCUUAUUUGCAUAUACUCAUCUAUUCUAGCUUGGUGCCAUUUACAAGUGCAACAAGUAUUUGUACAAUACUAUAAUGUACAGUUUGAUCAAUAUAUUAUUUACAUCAAGUGUAUGAUUAGCUUUAUUUUCAUAUUUAUUAAGCUUUUCCUAGGUCAAUAUCGAAUAGAUAAUUUGUGUGGUCAAUAUGGUGAAUUUUGUUGGCUCCAUAUAUCUUGUUUGACAACAUCUUUUCACAGCUCAGAUGUGAUUUUGCUAUUUGUGAACAGGUAUUUUUGACUUAGUCCAAACUAAUGGAAUCUGCACUAAGAUUAGUCUCUAACCAAAGGCUAUCCUUGUUGAAACCUAACUGAGGUUGACUCGACAUAUAAUUCCUGUGAAAAUCUUAUAAUUUCUGAUUUUACUCUGUUUCAUAUCUAUGAAGCAAAUAUCAGAUAUUGAGAAUGGGUAACUUAAAUUUUGUGGAUUGCUAAGGUCUUAUUCUCUUAUUUGUCUUAUUACAAAGCAUGGUUUGCUUUCGUUGAUCAUUAAAUAGCACCUCAUGAUCAGAGUUCAAUGCCUGUGAUAUGAAGUUGCACCUUGCCACCUCUAAAGCAAGUUGAAGGGUUACCUCCUGUAUUUCAUGUUCUAUCUAUAACUGGAGUACCACAUGGUUCAUAAGUAUAGUGAACUUGGCUGUCUUUCUCUGGUCAUGUCCUCCAUUGGAUCAAUGUUUUGCAUCUUUGCCGUGUCUAAUGUGCACAAUUCAUGGUUUUAUUUUUGCAAAGCUUCAUCUUAGAUGAAUGGCAUACAUAUUUUUUUGCAACCAUAUGACUAAUAGUCAUUCAAGGACAGAACUAGUGGGAUCCUAUAUAUGAGAUUGUUAUAGUUGGGCCCAAGAAAGGUCAGUUCAUGAUGAGACCUGUAUGUAAGGCAGGUUUCGGUCUGUUUAGCUGUAACUUUAGGGAGUACAAAGUCACUGGUGAAUUUGGGAGGGUAUUGGGCUUGAUGGAAACAAGCUGGAAGGAGUUGUUCUGAACGAAAGACCUCAACAAAUCAUAGUUAUCUCCAGCAUGUGGAUCAGACCUCCAGUUUGCUAUCUAUAUCUGCAGUAAACUUCAUAUCUUAACUUCUCCAGAUAGUAGAUGAUAAUUUCGGAUCUUGGAUGUCCCUUUUUUGCUUAGAUCACCUAAAUCCAUUGUAGCUUACACAAUUGUAGCAUUUUUAAAGGAACUCUUGCAUUGUUAUUAGAAACUUCCAUUCUUUGCCCUUUCGUUGCACCUAAUUUAACAUUUAAGAUUUCAAUUAAAAACUUUACCGAUGAUUUCCUUUAAAAUUGCUAAUAUUUGUACUUCUUUUUCUCUAACGUACCUUGGAUGAUGCUUUCUCAUCAUUUCUAUAGUUGGCUCGCAUUUGACUUCUGCAUUUUGGAAUAUUGUUUGACAUUUCCUUUAGAUGUUGCUCAGAGGUGGGAGAGUAGCUAUAAGAUCGUCUGUAGACUUUUUUCUUGUUAAACACUUAAUGGUUUUUAAAUGUGAUGAGUAUUGUCUUGAUCACAUGCAUGUUGCUAUUGUUUGCAUAAUGAUUUUAUUAUGAAGAUAUUGAUAAAUGUUACUGUUGAACUAUUAAAGUUCCUAUCAUUCCGAACAUUGCAAACUUCAUUCAAGGGUUUAAUUGCUUUUUCUUGUCCUUUUCCUUGCAAUUGUCUAAGAUGUAUGUUGGCUGUAGAAGUGAAAUUUUGCAGGUCUAGUGAAUUGUUUGUGAUUUAGAAAUUUAUUUUUAUGAAGUUCUCUCAUAUAUAUGUGCUAUAUGUUUAAUAUAUCCAAUAAAGCUUGAUUUGUUUGAAAUUCUAGUGACUUAUUCAAAUUACCAAGUGAUAUUGGUGGACAAAUGUGGUUGUGAUUGCCUAGGAUUGAAGGCCAAAUUGCAGCGGAGCAUAUUGUUGUUGAAUUUGAUGAGUUAUGGGUUGUGUAUGUUGGAAGAUAAGCCACUAAUGUGAUACAUAAAGAGGAUCUUGGUCUUUAUUAGUAGUUGUACUUCAUAUGGAGGCAUGAAAUGGGGGAGGGCGAGAGGGACCAAUGAUGUUAAGCCAUCAAGAUCAAAACUAACUAAUGCUCCAGAUGCUGAUGAAGUGCUCAUACAUCUAUAAAUUGCUAAAAUUCUGUUCAUUGUUGUAUAUUUAAGAGGUCUUUACUGACUGAGUAAAAAGUGAAGGGAAAACUAGAACAUUUGUGCUUCAAAGUAAUAAGGCAGGUCAAAAUUCAUGAGCAGGAGUCUUAGUUGAAGACUGUUAGUAUGCAUUAAGAGUCAAAAGUAUUACUCUAUAGCAAGCUAGGUCUACGUUGAAUUUAAAAUUAGGAGAAAGCCAGGGAAAGGUUCUCUAAGUAAGAUUCUUAAUGGAUCAAUCAUAAGAUUCUUAGUCUUAUGACCACCUUACUGAUUAACCAUCAAGACAAUAAGAAAUUAUAAUUCUGCCGCCUUUUCCAUCUAUAAAAACAUUGAUUAUAGAAACCAAAUUUUCAUUCCAACUUUAUUUUGUUUCUUUAAGCCUCCAGGAUGAGUGGCUUCAAUUUUGUGGUGAAAGCCUAUUUUAGGCUAUUUUAAGGGUUUUGGUGACUUUCAACUAUGGAUAACCUUGUUAAUAGUUUUUGAGAGUAGAUUUGGUGCUUUGAGGAUUAUGUUUAAUGAAGCUUUAAGCUUUAUGGUAGAUUUUCCACUAGGUUUCUUUUACUUGAGGAGUCCCAUAUGUUUUUCUUUCUUUGGUUCUUGUACAUUCUUUUCUUCUUCUUCUAUUUGUUUUUUCAACCUUUUCUCAUUUGGCUUCAAGCCAGAGCUAUAGUUACUUCGUGGAUUGUUGGAGAUAUAUUUCAAGGAGAGUUUUUGGUGGAAGCAGAGAUUGUAAAUUUGGUAUGCAUGUUUUUUUCCAAAAAUAAAAAGUGCUUUUGUUUUCUUUUUUUGCAUUUUGGAUUGUCACCAUCUAGAAACUUGUUGCUUUUAUGCCUUGUUGCGCCCGCUUUCAUUCUGAUCUUGGUCUAUGCUUUCUAAGGGGUUCAAUGGGAACUUGUAAUUUUGGGUCCUCUUUUAUUUUUUAGAAUGUGGUAGUCAAGCUAUUAUGUGGAUUUUUUUUUUUAAAUCCAUGUAUGGGCAGAAAUUGCUGCUGUACUUGUAUGGUUGUCACAUAUUUGAUUGUGUUCGUGGAUUAUAUAUAAUGGUGUGUGCAAGAUGAUUUACCAUAUCACUUGUCUAUAAGAACUGGUGCAAUAUGUUGUUUUGUGCCGAUGGGACUUGGCCCCAAGGGCACACUAUUUUACUGUGAUUGGUAGAAACUCCAAUCUAACAGUAGUUGAAUUACUAUAUGGAGCUCAAGGCUUUCGAUUUUUCCCUUCGAUUCAUUAUCUUUGUGGCUAAUUCCUUUAUAUUUUUUAUGGCAUGUUUUUAUAAGCUUGGUGACAUAAUUCUCUCGAUUUUGGAGUUUGGAUGUAAGGCUUGUUGUGCCUACUUGUGGGCCUCUGCUGACAUUUGUUGCACAUGAUGCUGUUGUCUCACUUGAUUCUUUUCCCCUUUUAAUCCCCCUUUGUACAUUCUGCUAUUUAUUUAUAUCCAUGAAUAUGUUAUUCUUGAUAAAUCUUUAAGCUUUGAUUUUUAAGUUAGGUAUAUUUUGAAGAACAAAAGAAUCUGUUGGGAAAGAAUCUGAAGAAAGUCUGCUUUCUACAGUCUCCAUCUUUUGUCUCGACAGUAAACAAGACACUAGAACUAAAAUAUUUUCUUCCACGACAAAUUUAAUGUGUUACUUUCUUAUUGUCCUAGGAUUCAUUUGUUUACAUUUAAAUGUUGACCUAAAGUUGAGAUAUAUGGGUUCGUUUUAUGAUUAGGGAGCAUUCAGAUGUACUGCAAAAACAUGAUGUGAGUGCAUUAAAGGAUUGAAGUGCCAACAGUGCCUGUUGGCAUGAACCUGCUCGUAUGGUGAGAGUACUGAACCGGCAUGUGGCAAGGCAUUGUCCCUGUCUGUAUGUGCAUGCCAAUGCCAUUCCAAGCACCACAUGACACAACAUGUCUUAUACCAGUUUAGCAACGGUACAGCACUGGCAUGCAACAAUUAAACCUUGAUUGCAUGUUUCUUGAAAUUACUAGUUGUGUGCUAUACAAGUGGGUGUACCGAAAGCUCAUAAAAUGACUAAAAUUUUUGAAUUUAAAUAUUCAACUUUGAAUAGAACUUUUCAAAUUCUUGUUCAUUUGUUUCACUUUACACUCUUUUAACUUUCUUUUUAAGUGCAUUAACUUACUGAAAGAUCAACAACUUACUAAAAGAAAAUAUUAUCUCUUAGUUUAGAAAAUUUGAAUUAAGGUAAAAUCACCAACCUGUGAUGUUGAAUGAGAAUACUUCUAAGUGCAGCAGUCUUAGUGAUAUAGCAUUUUGGUUUCUGACAAGAUUUUGUAAAUAAAAUGCUAUGGGUCUUUUUAAUUGUGGCCAAGCAUAUCCUUGACUGGUAAUGCACCCACCAGUUUUGGUCAAGCAUAACCUUGACUAUUAGUGAACCCACCAACCAAUGCCACUUGAAUUUUUUAUGGUACUUUUUAUGUAAGGAAUAUUUUUUACCAUAUUUAGAAAUGAUUGCAAUGGCAACUUAAAAACACCAUAACUUUAGAUUCAAGCAUCCAUUUUAGCUUUAUAAUUGCAUCAUUUUGGUGCGCCUUGAUGAGUUACAUCUUUUGAAAGCAUUCAAAUUAUCAAAGUGAUUUAUACAAACCAAGGCUUAUAUUUGCACAUGGACGUAGUUGUAUCUUUUUUCGUUUUCUUUUUUUUUCAUGUGUAUUUGAAGGAUUAGGAUUAAUUUUUAUUAAAUUAAUUACUUGGAUGAAGUUUUUUUUUUGGCUCAAGUUAUAAUGCAUUUUGUUCAUAGUGGAAUGAAUUUCCAAGAAAAUUGAGGAGGACUGGAGAAAACUUAAUUUGUAAUUUCUGUUUGUCUCUUGUGCUUGUUGGAGUCUAUGCGUUGGGAGAUGGCUUUCCUUGGCUUGAGGAUUUGCAACUAUGAUUAUGGAUCUGGUGAACUCUAUAUUUUUGAUUAUCUUUUCUUGAAGUCUCAUUAAACUAAAAUAUCUAUCCUAGUUUUGAUUUUAUCCAUCAAACUGGUAUUAGAGCAAAUGUUCUUGCUGAGCACAAGUCUGAGCUCUCUCUUUAGUAUGUGGACGAGUAUUAGUUCUGCAAGUUGUCUUAAGCAAGGAUGCUUCACCUCAAGAUCUUAAAUACUGCAGGACUGUGCCUUCCUAGUUUUUUCAUGGAAUGCGAUGUGCUGUGUACUCACAUUGAGGACAGUUGGCAUCUCGCCCUGUCCCAGUCUAUUUCACAACUCAUCCUGUCCCUACACUCGACGUUUUCCUGUCUCAAUUCUUGGGAUGGUUGGAUGCCCCACUAUUCCACCAGUAUUUAGAACCUUGUGUAAACUUGACUGGAGAAGACAUGAUCAGAUUGUGUGAUGAGAAGGUUCUGAUCGUAAGGAUGGGUAAGUUGCUUUAGGCACUAGUGGAUGACUCGACAAUGAUGGAGACAGACUGCUCAAUAUAGGAAAUUCUACUCUUACCACCAAUUGAAGAUCCCUUUUGGUCCAUUUGUUACGUAUGCUUAGCAGUCAAAUUCUCUUUUGGUCCAUCGAUUUGAAGUAGCGAUGGUACCUUAUUAUGCAAUCAGCUUUUGCAUUCUAGAAGCCCCCUAAUACGGUUGAUAUAGAGCUUUAAAAUGCCAGAACAUUGUUAGGAGUUUUGCUUCCCUCUAAUAUCAACUUCAAUGCAAAUAUUGAAUCUCAUCUCAGUGAACAUUGGCAGGAAUCUAUAGUUCCAGCUAUCCUCUAAUGUGAAUCUUUCAUACUACUUUAUGCAAUUCAAUUUUGAUGGAUACUUAGCUUGACUAGGUAUGAUUUAACAUGUAGAUAGAGAUAAUAGGGAAAGAAGGAGAGGGAGGACAUGAAUUUACUUUUAAAAUGUUUUACCAUAAAAAAGUAAUGACUUAUAAAUUAUAACCUUUCCUGCUAGGCCAUGCUUAUUCAUGGAGCGCUUUAAAGAGUUAAUCUGGAAUUUCAAGUAAUUCUCUUUGUUAUUAAAAUUUAAACUAGGUGUAAUGCUUUUUAAUUUGUAAAUAUUCAAUUUUAUACUAAAUGGACCCUAGAUUAUGUGAUUCUUAAUCAGCCUAAAUGAGAAAAAAAUGCAUUGUAGAUAAUAAGAUUGUGCUUCUGGUAUACCAGAUUCAUAUUGACAUGAAACAAGUUGAAAUUGCAUUGUGAUCAGAAGCUUACUUAUGUGAUGCUCUCUAAAGAGUUUUCUUUAGGUUUAUAUUCCUGAGCCUAGUUAUUUUAUAAUUUGAAUUUUUUAUUCGUGUUUUGAUGGGAUCUUGACAGUAAACACGUUGUGAUGUUUUUUCUAUGAUUUUGGCAUGUUCGACAUCUAUUGCUUCCAUUGCAUGAAAUUUGCACGCUUGUUGGGCAAUGACUCUUGUGCUCUUUAUGAUCAUUUUAGAGUCUAAGAAUUCCCUUGGAGCUUUUUCACAUUAUGUUUAUUGUUUUGUUAUUUCAAGCUUUGGUGAUUGGAGAAGCCUCACCACUACUUGGAUUCAUAUGAAGUAUAAGAUUUUUUUAAAAGAUGGAAGUAUGAGAUCUUACCCUCUUAUUUAGCCAGUGAAUUAUCCAUCUGAUAUGAAGGCUAUCUUGAUUGGCAUCCGGGGAGAACCUUAAGCCAAAGCUGGAGGCAAACAUUUCUUUUGGUACUUACAGACAUCUUAUCGUGCUUCACAUUGACCUUUGAAAUAUAAUCAGCCAUCUAAUGUCACUGCAGAUCCAUCCAAUUAAAAUUUUAAUGAUUUUCCAUUCUGCUUGACAUGGCCUUUUUGUAGAAUCUCAUGCUAUAUUAGGUGCGGGAAAUGCACAUAGAGUUUCAGAAUCUAAUAUCGGACAAUCUUUUCAACAGUAUCAGAUUUGAUUCCUACAGAAAAUAAAUGGAAUCUCUGUAUACAAUGUGUGAAGAGCCUACAGUUUGGUAAUUGCAAAUGAUAGACAGAAGAAAAGAGGAGGAGAUUGGGGGGGGGGGGGCAAUGUUUAUUGCAAUGCACAAAAUAACUACCAAAUAAUAAUACAGAUAGGAUGAUCCCUGAGCUCAAAGCAUGGUUUUGGAUAUACAACUUGCUGAAAGAUGCACAAAUCCGAAUGGGUUCUGGGUAUUAAUUUGAAGUAAAAUGGUGGUGUUGAUUUUUAAAUUGAAAUGUAAUAUUGAACUACCCUAGGGACAUUGCCACAUUACAUUUGUUGUAGUUUAUUAAAAUGAGUUCCAAAUGAAUCCCUUGAAAUAUGCUCCUGGUGUACCAUAUUUACAUCAAUGAUAUCACACAAGUAAAAUUUGCUGGGACUAGAUAUCCAGUUAAGAAAUAAUUUUUGAAGUCCACAAUUUUGACCUUUACUUUUUCCAUUUUUGGGGGUUUUAUUUUAUGAAUGUCAAUGCUUGGAUGCUUUAAUCAAGGUCUCUGCCACCAUUCCUUACAUUGGAAAUUUUGUUGAAUUUUCUAGCUUUUUUAUGGGCAUAAUAUGAAUUUGAUUCAAAAUUGAGUUCUGAUAUUCACAUGGCAGGCAAACUCUUGUUUAACACACUAAAAUUUUUUUGAUGGUGAUAUUUCUUUUAGGCUCUCAACUCUUUAGAGAAGUCAAAAGCCAAAGGAGCAAGAAGUGGAGAUCUCGGUGGUCCUUCCAAGGUUGGGCAGCAGUCAUCUCAACCUGUCAAUCUGACCCUCCGUGCACCUGCUAGAAUAGAUACUUCAAAGGUAUCUCAGGUGGGGAAUUUCCAAGUCCUCAACCGUGAGAGAAAUGGCAUCUCUCCUACUGCCAAAGAUAGCCCAAGUCUAAUGAAUGCCAGCAGAGUUGCGACCCCACACGGCGGUUUUCAGACAGCUGCAAUUCACCCACCAAAGAGCGCUGUUAACCCAAAGCUGAAGCCAGACAGCAAGGCAGGUGCUCCAUCUUCUACUCAGAGUUCCUUUGGGGAAAGAAGGCCUAUUUCUCAGGCUCAGAAUCGUAAUGAUUUCUUCAAUUUCAUUCGGAAGAAAUCACCUACGAGCCAUUCUGCUGAUCUUACUGAGCCAAGCUGUGCUGCAUCCACAUCCGGCUCGGCGAAGUUGGAUGAGCAGAUAACAGGGGCCUCCACUUCUGUUAAUCAAGAGAAGGACAGUUCUGCAUCUUGUUCUGAUUUGGUGCGCUGCCCAGUGGAAGAUGGUAAUGGUGCGACUGAGGAUGGUACUGAUAUCUGUGAAGUGUCCAGCAGGUCUGUUCCUGGCAAUGAAGAGGAGAGUUCAUCUUCAGACCCUGUUGUCCCAGAUUCUGGUCCUGGCAAUGCAGGAAAGAGCUCUUCAGGGCCUGUUCUUGCCCCGGCGUCUGCUCCAAACAGCGUUGAUGAAACUUCAUCUUCAGACCCUGUUGUCGUACCCAGCGAGGAAGAAUUAGACUUACUGCGACGACUUGGAUGGGAUGAAAAUGCAGAGGGAGAUGCUCUGACACCUGAGGAGAUUGAUGAUUUUGUUCGUCGGGUAACUAACUGAUCCUAUCUGAAAAGGAUUGUAAUGUUGUUAAUGGUGCUUGAUAGGGAUUUAUAUUAAUUUGAGGAACCCUAAUAAUAAUUAUAUAUAUUUUCUAACCGUUUGCAGUAUGAGGGUCGGAGGACAUCUUUGAGGGUGGGCCAACGGCCAUUGAGGAUGGUGGUUCCAGAUUCAGGUCAGAGUGAUGUAGCUGGCAAUCGUUUGGAUUGAAAUCAUCUGAGUAGGGGAAGCGUAAUUUUGCUGAACAACCACUGCUUCCAUGGCUAAGAAGGCUUCUAGUUUUUGCGGUCAAAGGGAUUUUUGGAUCGGCUCCCAGAGGAUUUGAGAUGCAAAGAAAAUGGAGUGGCAUGGAAAUCUGCGAGGUUGAAAGAAGAGGAAGUAGUUUUUUCCUGUCUUGCUUCCAAAAAGAAACGUGAUGUGAAAUGCAAAAUAAGAUGCAUGCUUCGGUCCACAAACUCAUGCUGUCCUACGGAACUUCAGGGUGCUUUCUCAUAGAAGCCUCUUCCCUUUUGAUUUUGUUGGAUUGGUUGAGGGUUAACAGGAAAGGUAGAUAGGGGUCCUAGGGUACAAGAAAAUUGCACAGCUUGGAAACAUCAGGGCUUUUUACCCUUUUGCCUUUUGGUUUAUUUUCUUUUUAACUUUUUGGCAAUAUUCAAAGAAAGAUUAUGGUGCUUUUAGUGAUAAGAGAGGAAAAGUAGCCAGUUUCAUCAACCUGAAUCCGAUUUUGCAUGAAUGAAUGCAGUACUUAUUGUAUGGGGAUGCACCCAAAUGAACCUCAUCAAUAGAAAUGGUGAGAGGUUGAUUUGCUUUCUUUAUUAUAUAUAUAUAUAUAUAUAUUAGUGAACGCAAGGGCUAAGAGCUAUGUGAUAUCCAGGCGUCAGGCCUUGCUCCAGCAUAGUGAAGGGGUCGAUUAUCAAGAAUGGGUAUUUGAUGCGCAGGCCGUUUCUGCUUCAGCACUUUCCUGGUUUUAUGCGACUAUUGUGGACAGAUAUUGCUUUGAACCCUUGGAUGUGGUUAGAGGAAUGCGUUGACAAAGAUGCAAGCAAUGUGAUAUGUGGAAUUUUAGCUUGUACAAACCAUUGAAAAUAUUAUAUAACAUUUUUGAAACUGAAUAUUUGAGGGCUACAUUUAUUGAUACUCUCAACUUGCAAGCACAGUUCAUUAGCAGGUGCAUUUGAUGGGUGGCUGUGAUUGCAACAUAUUUGAUGAAUACUUCUUUACUUUAGCUCCUAUACUUUUGCCAGGUCAUCGAGUUGAGUUCAUAGAGUGAAUUUACAGAAAAAGGAUCAUAUUUGAGGAAAUGGCACUAACAAGCUCCACAGCAGCCUUCAACAAAUCUGAAGGCCUUAGAGCGGUGGGAGUUCAAUUUGCAUUUUUUUUCUGUUCUAAUUAAUCUCUUUCCCCACCCUCCGCCCUCUCUUUUUUGGGUAUAGACAAAAUUAUCUGGCCGAGACUUAAGAGAGCAGCAAGAAAGCUUGAUGUGAUUUUUUCUAAGUAAUAUCUUUUAGAAACAUUACCAUUACUAUGUCGUAUGGUCACGGUUAGAAUUCACUAAUAAGUUCUACUGUGAGCUACAGUGUCUUUGAACAUAAUACUCAAUUGUUGAGUUCUUGAGCUUCAUCACCUAAAAGCUUUGAUCCAUCCUGCUGAAUUAGGCUCUUUUGGCAGAGUUUUUGAAGGACCAAAAAGCACACUUUCACCCUCCAAAAGUUGGUAAAAAAAUCGAAAAGCUGUAUUACCUUUUGUCAGAAAACUAAAACAACAUUUUGGAUUUUGGAGCUUCUCCAAAAAAGCAUUUUCAUGCCUUGUCGAAAAGCUAUUUUGAGUUAUAAAAUUUUUCAUUUUUAGACCACAAUACCUGCAAUAAAAUAUAAUAAUUACAUAAAAUAAUAGUAUUAAUAUAUAAUAAUAAUAAUAUUUUAUACCUUUAUUAUUGUAUUAUAUUAUAAAUAUAAUAUUAUAUUACAUUAUAUCCUAAUAUAUUGAUAUAUUAUGUUAUAUUAUUAUGCUAUAUUAUACAAUAUUAUAUUACUAUAUUAUAAUAAUAUUAUAGUAUAGUAAUAUUAUACUAUAUUAUAUAUUUAUGUAUUAAUAUAUAUUUUAUUUUAUUAUGCUAUGUUGUAAAAUAUUAUGCAGUGUCCUUUAUAACCAUUUUGUCAUACCAAAAAUACUUUCUCAGUCAUAUUAAAGUCUCACGGCACUUUACAAAUAUAGCUACCAAAUAACAAAUAAAAGCUACUUUCAAAAGCUCUAUUGCCAAUAACUCUGCCGAAUAAAGCCUUAAUAUAAUUGACUUGUGAAAUCACACCUCUCCAAUUUGACCACGUCUGAGUUUAAGACUUCACUCGAUGAAAAAAUGGGUCAGAUUCUAAUCCCAAGUAUUUAGACAUCGGUAUUUUACAUCUAACAUCUCUCUCUCUGGUUUACAUUCAUGCUGCGUCAGCAUUUAUUGAAAAAUUUAUGCGUUGCCUUAAUUUGAAUCAGGUCUGGUAAUCUAUAUCUCAUCCAUGUCUUGGUUCUUAAUGACCGGACUGUGCCCUUUUUGGUUUUUUUGAUGCUUCCAGAUUAGAUCCUGACUGCCAAACACUAUCUUUUAUCUGCGGGUCCACCAUCACUUUGUCUCUUCUUUCUAAACAGCCAAGCACUACCAUCUUCUCGGCACAAGAAUACUUUGGGAUUUUACCAAGCAAACAUAGCCUUGAAGAUGAUACUUAAAUAAAUCUACAUAUUUACAUAUAUUCAUGCACUCAUCUCACCCAGAUUUGGGUGCAUAUCCAGUUCUCUUUUCCGCACCCAAAUACAUGACCGACUUUGCAAGGAUCUGAACCAAAACAACAUCGGAACUAUCCUAAAAUAAAAAAAAGGAAAAAAUCAUACUACUGCUGAAACUCUAAAACACAAUGAAAACCGAAAAUUUUAUUCCUUGCUUUUCAAGAAUCUGCUUGCAACGCCCAUUUCUGGAAAAGCCUACAAACAUCUGUUUUAUUCUUCAAAUGGUCAUCUGAAAAGCAAAAUUUUAAUAGCCUGAAGAAGGCAAAAUCAUCGGGGGACGCCAGAAUGAAAAGGGCAGUGCAAUGCUUCACCUAGUCAUACCAAAGUGCCAGCUCUCAUUUUUAGUUAAUUCCAUCAAUCAUUACCAUGUGCGGAGGAACUGGAUCUCGAAGAAAAUGUCAGCAGUUUCACCACAAACGGAUGCUCUAAUAGUUGAGCAGCAGAAGGCCGUUCAUCUGGGUUAACCUUCACACAUUGACUGAUAAAAUCACGGGCAUCUCUUGACAAGUAGUUGGGGAUGGGAGGUUGUUGGCCAUGGCCAAUUCUAAAGAGAGCUUGAGUCUGCAAAUUAGAGAGAAUGAACAAUUAGUAAGAAUAUCUUGGGGCAUUGAGAUAGCUACCAACUCCUUCCAACAAUUAUAAAACCGUUGUUUACAGCUUGCAGCAUGAAACAGAAGUGAAAAUAUCUUCAGACUUUCAAAUUUUGACUUAAGAGGAAAAGGCAAGCAUAGAAGUUGCACGAUAGGCAUGGAAAACUAAUAAGAUGGAGACAUCUAAAGAAGCUGCAAUAUCUACUCCUACUGUGUUAACUGCUAGAAGCACUUUCAACAAGGCUCAAAAGUUAUUAUGAUGUUCUGCUGUUUGCUUUUAGGAGAUCGUUUUGCUCUUCCGUAUCUUUAUAAGAUGGGUAAGAUAUUUUCAUCAAUGAGAAUGGGAUUCAACAUCUCAAACUCCCGUAUUUUAUAAAACAGCACGAAAUUUUCAUCAAUGAGAAUUAGAUUUAUCUUCUGAAACUGAUGUAUAUUUCUGGUAUAGGAGAUGGCCAUUUGGCCGAUCAAGGUCUGUCCAGCUCGAUAAACAUAACCAUCGUCAAGGGGUCCGACCAGCGCAAUCACGAAGAAAAUUCUACAUUUAGACUCAACCUACUUGCUAUACGUCACAAAUAAGGCCUGAUGACAUUAUUUGACCAACCAGCCAGCUUGAACAGGUUACACCUCCAAUCCUCUUAGGUUUGACCCAACAAGUUUGUCGAGAUACAGGUACAGGGGCACACCAGACAGAUAUCUGACCAAGUUGUUUUAUAUGUCAAUCCCCAUAUUUUUCAAUCACUUUAUGAGUAAUGAUCUGUAAAGAUAUUACCUUAAUUACAAACUUUAAAUAAUAUACAAGCUAUUAGACAAACUUGCCGCUAGAGCUACUUUUAGCUUCCUUCGUGGGAUACAGUUUCAUAAAGAGUUGUAUAUGAUUCAAACAAAGUAUUUUAUAAUAUCUGGGUCACUCUGAAUAGACUCAUCCUCUCCAAAAUUAUAUCAACGAUAAAUUAUUCUGAAUAAAAGAUAUGACAAUAAGCAUAUUGUUACUUGAACUACUAUCUAGAUUUUCCUAAUUGCAUUAUAUAGUACUGACAUAAAUGUGGAACAAGUUUGAAGAAAUCUUUAGCUUAAAAGUUUAAACAUGGAACAAUUUUGCGCAAGAGAUGAAAAAUACACAAACAGCUUGUUACUUCAAAACUGCCAUAAGUUAGUCAUUAAUGAUAACACGGAUAAUGAAUUUUCAAGGGACCUCACAACCUACAUGUAUCAGAGAGUGUAUAUGAGCAACUUUAUCUGAAAGCAUGAGUGCUAAGAUCAAAAUACUAAAAUAAAGUUUGCUCUAAUGCUUAAUUUUAUAGUAAGAUAAGAAUCAGUGAAUAAGACAAUUUAUAUUGGAAACAAAGGGCUUAUAUUGAGAGAAUUUUUUAAGGAUUCCUCAAAUUUGAGAGAUGAUCCCGUAUGUCAAAUCUAAAAUAUAUAAGAAAGCUAGUAAAAGAGCUCAUCCAGCUUAGCCAACAAACUCUUAUUUCCAGAAAAAGUUCAGCACGCAACAGAGGUAAUCCAACGGAAUGUGGAAUGAGAUCCAAUGGUUCCUGCAAGUUGUCAUUUCUAGGUGCAAUGCAUGGGGACUGUUGUAUCUUUAGUGGUGACCGUCCCCGUCAUAAGGAGAUUGAUCAGCUCAAGAUGUGAACCAAAGAAAUCCACCUAUUUACGAACUCGCGUUUGGCGCGGGCAGGUUAAGAUCUACCAUAAUGGGUCUGGAGUAUUUCACCUAGCCAGCCUUCAUCCACAUAACCAUCUUUUACAACAUUAUUUAUUCCUUUAUCUUAAAUGAAACUUUGAGUCCUUGCUACCUUCAACUGGCCAUUUCCCCAUCUCCCAAUCCAGAACUACUCCUUAUCAUAAUUGGCAGUAUAUAGCAUGAAUUUGAACCUGCGAGCCAUAAUAUAAAACUUUUUAAACUUGCUUACCUCUUUCUUCCUUUAUCUGCGUUCUUGAUUCAUUCUCCUCCAUACGCUAAUCCUGUCAAUGUGCCACAUCUCCUAUGCCCUUCUCCUCAUCUUAUCUCAUCCUCCAGGAUUUAUUACCCAAACCCAUUGCUAACCUAGGUGUUCAGAAUUUGAAGCAAGUUCAACUGCUGGAGCUACUGAAUUUAAUCCUUACAUUCCUUUUUUCAAUUUUAUAACAUACCAUUUCUUUAUAUCAACUUUAUCCUGUUAAUAUAUUGGAUACUUACAAGAUCACUCUUUUUUUACUUAAAAAAAUUACAUUUCUUGAACUAUUCAAGUCAUCUAGAUGCAGCUGAUUAUUUAGUGAAAUUCUAUUCUCUGUGUUUGCUAUUCCGCAGCUGGCUGUUCCAAAAGUAUAGAUAGCUUUCAGCUUUCAAGGAAUCCAGAUUUAAGGUAUAGAGUAAAUAAGUUUGCGGUUAUGGCACGUGAACUUUUUUUUGGGUACAUCACGGGAACUUUCAGAGUAAAAGAAAUCAAGCAGGAAUAUUGUUUGUUAUUUCGUUACUGAACUGGCAGAGGAGUCCUUUGAAGAUGAAAAGGAAUAGUAGCUAACUGUUUCAACCAAACAGAUUACUCACCCACUCCAGAUUUGGAUAAGGAAGUUGCCGUGUUAACAUAUAUCGGCUGCAGGCCCAUAUGUUUUUCUAGGAUUAACAACCUGAAAAAUGAGAACUCCCCAUUUAAUAGGAACUUGCAGACCCAUGCACAAAUUUAUGAAAUGGCAUCUUUAAAAAUUACAUGCAGUACUAUUCUGAACACAGUAGAUGAUGAAAAAAAUAACAUCAUUCUCCAUUCUGUCACAAAAGAUAGACGCUCCAUCCAAAACCUAAUCAAGUCCAACAGGAAAAAAUAGUCUGCAAAAGAGUUGUAGGAGAUUAUCUGAGUUGGAUUUGGAUCAAGAUAUAUCUGAACCCAAUAAUGUGACGAAUGACAUAGGAUGAUAUAUGUACAUACAUUCACAUAUAAUUGUUUAUGUGCAUGUGUUUUCUUUUUCCGAGGAAUUUUAAUUGAAAUUUAGAUGAGAACCAAAUCUGUUCAUCAUCUCCAGGUCAGUAUUUGGUUAGGAAUCACCACCAGCAAAUGCUUGCAUCUGGACUCAAAUCAAAUAUAAUGUCUGAUAUAGUGCCAUCAUAGAACACAUAGCACACAUUCAGUGGGAGUGAGAAAGUAACAAGUGCAUUGUGAAGAACAGAAAGGCUAUGUUGUCUUCCUUUGGAUAGCAAUCAUAUCAUCUAAGCUUGACUUUUAAACCUUCUUGAUUCUAUAUAUUCGCAAGUUAUUAAAGAACAAUGAACAAGUAUAAUACAUGAUACCCCUAAAGGUAUCCUUCACUUUUCGAACAAUUUGCCAGAUAAUGUCCUGCAUAUAGUAAUCAGCACUAAUAAGUAGCAAUUAUUCACGAUAGAGGGUAAUGCAUCUAUACAAAGACCAAUGCGUUAAUUUGAGGCUCACUCUUUUGCAACUAUCAGUCCUCCUUCUAGUUUGCAGCAACAUACACAUCAGACCAAAGAUAUCCACAAAGAUCAUUUUACCUCAAGAUCUCCCUAGCAGCUAGUCCAAUUACAAUGCGAAGAAAACUAGGACAAGCUACUAAUCAGGUUGGUUGGUCAAUAUAAGACAAAUUUCAAGAUUUAUUUCAACUUACAAAAGAUUUGAUCAAACAAAAAAAAAUUCAUGGAGUGCAUCUAAGCCAUGAUUUCUGCAUAAUAUGCAGAGAUAACAUAUAACAGCCACCUACCAUUACCAUUACCAUGCAAAGAAAGGAUGUGAAUCACCACAAAUUGAAGUGACCCUGUAUGCAUAGCUGUGUUAUUUAGUUAGUAUAGACUUAUAUACAAUUGCAGCCACCAUACAUGUGAGGAUCCAUGGGGGCAUGUCCUUAGUCGCAUAUUGGGGUCCCAUAUUGGUUGUGCGCUGGAAGAUCUUGGAUCCUUAAGUAGGGUAAAGAAUUUCAAAAUAUAAAACUUUUGGCUAGUCCUUUUGGGUGAGGUUCUAGAACGUUAUAAAUGGCAUCAAAGCUAAUAUGAUCAAUGGCACUUGUGGACCAUGGAACACUACAGCUGUGGAUUACGGUGUUUGUGAUUUUGAUAGACCCUUUCCUUGGUGAGAAUGCUAGGACUUAAAUGGGUGGAGUGUGAGAGGACCUAUGCAAGCAUGAGCAAGGACCUCAAAAUAUUAACUAGGAAGAUUUUAGGUACUUAAACAUGGGCAAGGACCUCAAAAUAUAACUUUUGGCAAGUCUUUUUCUGUGAGAUCCUAGGAUAUUGCAAUUUUUUCAUCUUAUUAUCACUAUCUCAAACACAAAGUUACAAUAUUAGAAAUGAAAGAUAUCAAUUCAAGACUUGAUAAGUGGACUUUGUGAUGAACUCGAAUGAAAAUGAAAUAGAAGUAUUUCAUCUAUCAGACUUAAGUAAAAUUUAAUACUUGAGCAAGCUGUGAAGAUAUUCUUUUUAUGCACAAACUUGUAACAACGCUUUCAAUAUAAGAUAUCUUAGAAUUGUUUUAACCGGGUAUUACUUAAAUAAAUUCAGUCAUUAAAUUUUAUUACCUUGUUUAACAUAAUCAGUUUGCCAGUUUCUUAUUCUAACUUUGUGGAAUUGAGCCUAGAUCAUUAUUAUUAUAUUUUUCUAUUCUUCUUUUGCCUAUAACAUAUGCAAUGAUAUAUAUAUAUACAUAAAAUAGGCAGUGAUAAAGUUUCUCAUUUCAAUUGCUUUGCAUCGGUCACAANN